UACGUAUGGUGCAAGCGUUAUCCGGAUUUACUGGGCGUAAAGGGAGCGCAGGCGGCGCGCCAAGUCUGAUGUGAAACCCCGGGGCUCAACCCCGGGCAUGCAUUGGAAACUGGCGGGCUGGAGUGGCGGAGAGGUAAGCGGAAUUCCUAGUGUAGCGGUGAAAUGCGUAGAUAUUAGGAGGAACACCAGUGGCGAAGGCGGCUUACUGGACGGCAACUGACGCUGAGGCUCGAAAGCGUGGGGAGCAAACAGG
Molecule: ribosomal RNA, 253 nt
Filed under: uncultured bacterium
Lineage: Bacteria
Description: partial 16S ribosomal RNA
Rfam family: Bacterial small subunit ribosomal RNA
Source: RNAcentral